Molecule: ribosomal RNA, 492 nt
Filed under: uncultured bacterium
Lineage: Bacteria
Description: partial 16S ribosomal RNA
Rfam family: Bacterial small subunit ribosomal RNA
Source: RNAcentral
AGUGAACGCUGGCGGUAGGCCUAACACAUGCAAGUCGAACGGCAGCACAGUAAGAGCUUGCUCUUACGGGUGGCGAGUGGCGGACGGGUGAGGAAUACAUCGGUAUCCUCUUUUUCGUGGGUGAUAACGUAGGGAAACUUACGCUAAUACCGCAUAUGUCCUACGGGUUAAAGCAGGGGUUCUUCUGACUUUGCGCGAUUGAAUGAGCCGAUGUCGGAUGAGCUAGUUUGCUGGGUAAAGGCACACCAAGGCGACGAUCCGUAGCUGGUCUGAGAGGAUGAUCAGCCACACUGGAACUGAGACACGGUCCAGACUCCUACGGGAGGCAGCAGUGGGGAAUAUUGCGCAAUGGGCGCAAGCCUGAUCCAGCAAUACCGCGUGGGUGAAGAAGGCCUUCGGAUUGUAAAGCCCUUUUGUUGGGAAAGAAAAGCAGCAGGUUAAUACCCCGCUGUUCUGACGGUACCCAAAGAAUAAGCACCGGCUAACUUCGUG